This 305-nucleotide ribosomal RNA is filed under the name uncultured bacterium. RNAcentral's name for it is "bacterial SSU rRNA". It matches the Rfam family "Bacterial small subunit ribosomal RNA", at positions 333 to 655 of the family's 1533-position model. The record is from RNAcentral.
AAGUUCCUACGGGGCGCAGCAGUGGGGAAUAUUGGGCAAUGGGGGAAACCCUGAAGCAGCAACGCCGCGUGGAGGAUGAAGGUUUUAGGAUUGUAAACUCCUUUUGUUAGAGAAGAUUAUGACGGUAUCUAACGAAUAAGCACCGGCUAACUCCGUGCCAGCAGCCGCGGUAAUACGGAGGGUGCAAGCGUUACUCGGAAUCACUGGGCGUAAAGAGUGCGUAGGCGGGGUAAUAAGUCAGAUGUGAAAUCCUGUAGCUUAACUACAGAACUGCAUUUGAAACUGUUACUCUGGAGUGUGGGAGG